Molecule: ribosomal RNA, 253 nt
Filed under: uncultured bacterium
Lineage: Bacteria
Description: partial 16S ribosomal RNA
Rfam family: Bacterial small subunit ribosomal RNA
Source: RNAcentral
UACGUAGGGGGCAAGCGUUAUCCGGAUUUACUGGGUGUAAAGGGAGCGUAGACGGCGAUGCAAGUCUGAAGUGAAAGGCGGGGGCCCAACCCCCGGACUGCUUUGGAAACUGUAUGGCUGGAGUGCAGGAGAGGUAAGUGGAAUUCCUAGUGUAGCGGUAAAAUGCGUAGAUAUUAGGAGGAACACCAGUGGCGAAGGCGGCUUACUGGACUGUAACUGACGUUGAGGCUCGAAAGCGUGGGGAGCAAACAGG